UACGGAGGGGACUAGCGUUGUUCGGAAUUACUGGGCGUAAAGCGCCCGUAGGCGGAUUUGUAAGUCAGGGGUGAAAUCCCGGGGCUCAACCUCGGAACUGCCUUUGAUACUGCAAAUCUCGAGUCCGGAAGAGGUGAGUGGAAUUCCUAGUGUAGAGGUGAAAUUCGUAGAUAUUAGGAAGAACACCAGUGGCGAAGGCGGCUCACUGGUCCGGUACUGACGCUGAGGUGCGAAAGCGUGGGGAGCAAACAGG
This 253-nucleotide ribosomal RNA is filed under the name uncultured bacterium. Its description in RNAcentral is "partial 16S ribosomal RNA". It matches the Rfam family "Bacterial small subunit ribosomal RNA", at positions 524 to 776 of the family's 1533-position model. The record is from RNAcentral.